GAGAACCCCGGACACCGUAAGCCCAAGGGUUCCUGCGCCAUGGCAAUCAGCGCAGGGUGAGGCGGUUCCUAAGGCGAGGCCCCAGAGGCGUAGCCGAUGGCCAACGGGUGAACAGUCCCGUCCCGCCGCGACAUGUUGAACCUGCGAGGGACACCGGAACGAAGCGACCGCGGUUUUGUGGAUGACCGUCUAAGCCAGUAGGCGCAAGCCGAGAGGGGAUGGCGAGGUGGGUCUUCGGACCCGCCAAGGGUCGUAGAGUCGACGGGCAAGAAAAGCUUGCAGGGGAGUGGCGUGGUGACCGUACCGUAAACCGACACAGGUGGGCGAGGCGAGUAGCCUCAGGUGCACGAGUGAAACGUGGUCAAGGAACUCGGCAUAAUGAUCCCGUAACUUCGGAAGAAGGGAUGCAUGAUUGGGUGACUCGCUUCGCGCGGGAGGCCCGGUUGUGCCGCAGUGAAUCGGCUCAAGCGACUGUUUAGCAAAAACACAGGUGCAUGCCAAGCCGCACAAGGCGCCGUAUAUGCACUGACGCCUGCCCGGUGCCGGAAGGUUAAGGGGAGAGGUUAUCCGCAAGGAGACGCCUUGAGCCGAAGCCCCGGUAAACGGCGGCCGUAACUAUAACGGUCCUAAGGUAGCGAAAUUCCUUGUCGGGUAAGUUCCGACCUGCACGAAUGGCGUAACGACUUGAGCACUGUCUCGACCACGCGCUCGGCGAAAUUGCAGUCUCGGUGAGGAUUCCGAGUUCCCGCGACAGGACAAAAAGACCCCAUGCACCUUUACUGCAGCUUGCCAUUGCUCGCUGCAUUCAGCUGUGUAGCAUAGGUGGGACCCGUUGAGGCCCGGGCGCUAGCUCGGGUGGAGGGGCCAGUGAAAUACCACCCUGCUGAAUGCGGCGUGCUCACCACGGGUAGCAAACCUAUUCUGGGACCGUGGCAGGUGGGCAGUUUGACUGGGGCGGUCGCCUCCGAAAGCGUAACGGAGGCGCGCGCAUGGUUGGCUCAGCGCGGUCGGUACUCGCGCCUACAGAGUGUAACAGCACAAGCCAGCCUGACGGCGAGACCGACGGGUCGAGCCGGGACGAAAGUCGGUUGUAGUGAUCCGGUAGUACCGCGUGGGCGGGCUAUCGCGCAACGGAUAAAAGGUACGCUGGGGAUAACAGGCUUAUCGCGCCCGAGAGUUCACAUCGACGGCGCGGUUUGGCACCUCGAUGUCGGCUUAUCACAUCCUGGGGCUGGAGAAGGUCCCAAGGGUCCGGCUGUUCGCCGGUUAAAGUGGUACAUGAGCUGGGUUCAGAACGUCGUGAGACAGUUCGGUCUGUAUCCGUCGUGGGCGUUGGAGAGUUGAGGGGUGCGGACUCUAGUACGAGAGGACCGAGUCGGACGAUCCGCUCGUGUCCCGGCUGUUCUGCCAAGGGCACCGCCGGGUAGCGAUGAUCGGCACGGAUAACCGCUGAAAGCAUCUAAGUGGGAAGCCGUCCCCAAGAUGAACUCUCCCUGGAGCUUCGAGCUCCCUAAAGGGCCGUGAGAGACCAUCACAUCGAUAGGCCGCCCGUGGACAUGCAGCAAUGCAUUCCGAGCGCAGCGGUCCUAAUCGCCCGUGCGGCUUGACUAC
Molecule: ribosomal RNA, 1611 nt
Filed under: metagenome
Description: bacterial LSU rRNA
Rfam family: Bacterial large subunit ribosomal RNA
Source: RNAcentral